Schizosaccharomyces pombe (fission yeast) is the source of this 371-nucleotide non-coding RNA. Lineage: Eukaryota; Fungi; Ascomycota; Schizosaccharomycetes; Schizosaccharomycetales; Schizosaccharomycetaceae. The record is from the annotation of a GenBank genome assembly.
AGCGUUGUAAUGCCCUUUAGCUAAAUGAUAUUGUAGUACAAGGUUAUAGGCAACCGUCUUCUUGGCAUUUGAUCUCUCGUACAGUAAAUGCAAUGCUUUCUCUAAAGACUCUUUUUGAAGUAACGAAGAUACAUUUUUAGCCAGUUUGAAACCAUCGUUUCUUAUUAAGGAUGACUUAGUUUUUUUAUUUCGAAACUCAUUUAGAUUGUUGACUUGCUCCUUGAAUUUCAAAGCAUCAGCGAUUAAAAGGCGCUUUCGUACUAAUUUCCGCGCAUUACUUACUGAAACACUAUACGUGGUUGCAAAUUCCCGCAAGCAGAAGCGGUUUAGGAGCAAAUCGACAAAGGCCCUUCGCGGAAAUGUCCUUUUAA